This is a non-coding RNA of Phasianus colchicus (ring-necked pheasant), 346 nucleotides long. The record is from RefSeq and is a predicted model, not a curated record. Lineage: Eukaryota; Metazoa; Chordata; Aves; Galliformes; Phasianidae.
GGAGUCUGCAAGCCUGUGCUGACUGCAGACAUCUGAAGGGGAUCAGUUUGAAAAUCUAGCAUGUACCUGCCAGGCUUUCUGAGUUGGUGACAGACAGCACAUGUUUGAAAGAGGAUUAUGGCAAGAUAAAUGGAGACAAGUGAGGAGGGAGAGCAAUGUGAGACAUCACCUCUGUAGCAAACUGCUAAUGCUGACGCAGGGUGACUACGAGUGACCAAGCAGAGUGUGCCUGCCCACUCUUUGUAAGGAAAAAUGAAUUGAAAGGGGCAGAGAUAUGGAGAUGACCAUGACUUCUGUGCUAAGACAAGGUCAGUAUUCGUACACCGAUUGUUAAAUUAAAUUGUUA